UGUGCGCUCGCAAAAGUGAUAACAAUUUUUUUCUCCUUUCUCCUCCCCCCUCACCCUUCCUUCGACAAAUCAUUGACGAAUUUUUACGCGUCACGAGGAAAGGAUCGUAAAAAGAAAAUACCAGAUCGACAUACCACGCGGGACGUACAACACACACGCACGUAACAACAAUGAGGACGUACUACGUGAUAGCCGCCAUUCUGAUCGCCGGCGCAACCGCCCAAGAAUCGUUCAAAUGCCCGGACGACUUCGGUUUCUAUCCCCAUCACAUAUCCUGCGACAAAUAUUGGAAAUGCGACAACAAUGUGGCGGAGUUGAAGACUUGCGGCAAUGGGCUCGCAUUCGACGCAAGCGAUAGCAAGUUCCUCACCGAGAAUUGCGAUUAUCUGCACAACGUGGAUUGCGGGGACAGGACGCAGCUCGAGCCGGCGAUCAGCACGCCACAUUGUCCGCGUCUAUACGGUAUCUUCCCGGAUGAAAAAAAAUGCGACGUGUUCUGGAAUUGCUGGAACGGAGAGGCAUCCAAGUAUCAGUGCAGUCCUGGACUCGCUUAUGACCGUGAGGCGAGAGUCUGUAUGUGGGCCGACCAAGUACCUGAAUGCAAAAACGAGGAAGUCGCAGGAGGUUUCACGUGUCCAGCCGCCGGCGAAGUGAGCGGGGCAUCCGGCAGCUUCAGCAGACACGCCCAUCCCGACGACUGCAGAAAGUAUUACAUAUGUCUGGAAGGUAUCGCGAGAGAGUACGGGUGCCCUAUCGGCACUGUGUUCAAAAUCGGUGAUGCCGAUGGCAGCGGUGCCUGCGAAGAUCCUGAGGACGUUCCUGGAUGUGAGGAUUACUAUGGUGACCUGGAUCUAAAGAGCAUCAGGAAGAGCGAGCUGCUUGCCGGAAUUCAGAAUUCAGGCGAGACCAGGAAGCCUCCUCAAGGCAAACCGAGGCCCCCAUCGGCACCUGCGAGGCCCAACGCAUCCCUUCAAGAAUAAUUUCUCUCAUCUUCCUUUCCUUCUUCCUCUUCCUCAUCACUUUCUUUCCCUCUUCUCUUCCCUCCUUCGUCCUCACUUCUUACUUUUGUCUGAAUCUCUUUCCUAUGCAUAUUUUUCUUUUGUGCAAGCACGCACACACACAUACACAUACGCAUAAGUGACAGAUACAUACACUUGUGAUACUCGGUCACGUUCUUCGUGCGUACACCCGAGCUUUUCUGAAACAAAUAUAAUCGAAUAAUUUGCUAUUAUUUACCAUUAUUUCGUACGUGGUUUGACUCGAAUACGAGAGGAAUAUCAUGAUAGUCUUGUGACCGAAGAGUUAUACGUCACAGAAUUCCCUCACUCGUGUCGAGGUUAUUUCGUCCAUGCGGCUCGAUGCGCCGCAACAUGCGGGAAGAAGUAACGUCCGUGGAAUUUUAAUCUUUCGAACUGUGCAUCGAUUCGAAUUAAUCGAUUUUAUAAAAAUCGAACAAAAUAAAAUUUGUAUACCUUCUGUCUAUAUACAUAGUGUUUAUAUGUGAACAAGUAAUCUCGAACACUCGUCAAAAUUAACAUCGAGUAUUGAAAUUCGAAUCGAUAAUCGAAAUUCGAUUCCCAAUCGUAUCGUCUCGUCGAUAACUUUUUUCAUCUCUCCUCCUUUCUCUUGUCAUUGUUUACUUUUAUCCAUUUUCCUUUAUUUUCCCCUUCCGUACGCAAUCUUGUUAGCUAUCGUAAGACGUACGGUUUUAAAACAAAGCUCGUUGAUCGGUAUCGUUUCUAGGUUAGAAUUACGUCCAUUGGAUAUUUAUACUUUUGAAAAAAAAAAAAGAGAAAUCUAAGGGAAUGAUUCGAUGGACGCGAAGACUACUAUGGAGACGUGGAUCUAAAGGCUUUACGAAAAUUGGGAUACAAAAAAAAGUGACGAAGAGGACAAAUACGCAAAGUUCAAUAAUUCUGAUCGACACUAGGGUCGGAAGAUUUUGAAAUUCGUCAAAAUCUAUUAAUUUCCUGCAUCUUCCAUCGAAAUAAAAAAAAAUUCAUGUAUUUCAUUUUAAAUCAUUCGCAAUAUCAUUCAUAUCUCUUGUCAUAUCACGUUAGAUAAUUGUAAUAUAGGUUAUGAUAUAUGUAAAUAAAUUACUAUUAUAAAACGAUAAAUAAAUAUUGUAUAUGU
This is an RNA transcript of Apis laboriosa (Himalayan honeybee), 2133 nucleotides long. It is a transcript of the gene named protein obstructor-E, with no coding region annotated. Lineage: Eukaryota; Metazoa; Arthropoda; Insecta; Hymenoptera; Apidae. The record is from RefSeq and is a predicted model, not a curated record. The transcript has 5 exons.